ACGGAAGGCAGCAGUGGGGAAUAUUGCACAAUGGGCGAAAGCCUGAUGCAGCGACGCCGCGUGAGUGAUGAAGUAUUUCGGUAUGUAAAGCUCUAUCAGCAGGGAAGAAAAAUGACGGUACCUGACUAAGAAGCACCGGCUAAAUACGUGCCAGCAGCCGCGGUAAUACGUAUGGUGCAAGCGUUAUCCGGAUUUACUGGGUGUAAAGGGAGCGCAGGCGGUCGUACAAGUCUGAUGUGAAAACCCAGGGCUCAACCCUGGGAUUGCAUUGGAAACUGUAUGACUAGAGUGUCGGAGGGGUAAGUGGAAUUCCUAGUGUAGCGGUGAAAUGCGUAGAUAUUAGGAGGAACACCAGUGGCGAAGGCGGCUUACUGGACGAUAACUGACGCUGAGGCUCGAAAGCGUGGGGAGCAAACAGGAUUAGAUACCCUGGUA
RNAcentral lists this ribosomal RNA (435 nucleotides) under uncultured Lachnospiraceae bacterium. RNAcentral's name for it is "partial 16S ribosomal RNA". It matches the Rfam family "Bacterial small subunit ribosomal RNA", at positions 341 to 792 of the family's 1533-position model. Lineage: Bacteria; Bacillati; Bacillota; Clostridia; Lachnospirales; Lachnospiraceae. The record is from RNAcentral.